This 4197-nucleotide small RNA is filed under the name Pan troglodytes (chimpanzee). RNAcentral's name for it is "retained intron". Lineage: Eukaryota; Metazoa; Chordata; Mammalia; Primates; Hominidae. The record is from RNAcentral.
GCAGAUAAGAAAAAUUCUAAAUCUUUGGCACAGUGUAAGGAGGGACAGGUUCUCUCCUCUAAGCCUCCAUUUCUUCAUCUUUAUAAUGCAGAUGUUAAUAAUACAUAUGGACAAUUGCUAAUAUCUAGGUUUAUAUGAAGAGUUUAUCACAUAAAACCAUUCAAUAAAUGGUGUUAUUAAUUAAUAUACAGUGCAUCUAUUCUGCUUUCAGCAAACUGUUUCCCAUGUAAGUAAAUUUUUCAGGUAACGCAGGCUCUGUAAGUUUUUCCAGCUAAUUUGGAUUUUUAAAAGCUUUUGUUUAUUUCCUGCUGUUAGGUGAUAUUUUAAACUUGUUUCACUUUCUCCUAUAAAUGUGUAUAUAUGCCUCGGUAAUGAUCCCCUUAGAGCAGUGGUUCCCAACCUUUUUGACACCUGGGACCAGUUUCGUGGAAGACAAUUUUUCCACAGAGAAAUUGAGGUGGGGAGAUGGUUUCAGGAUGAAACUAUUUCACCUCAGGUCAUCAGGCAUUAGUUAGAUUCUCAUAAGGAGCACACAGCCUAGAUCCCUCGCAGGCAUAGUUCGCCAUAGGGUUUGUGCUUCUGUGAGAAUCUCAUGCUGCCGCUGAUCCGACAGGAGGCAGAGCUCAGGUGGUAAUGCUUGCUCGCCAGCCACUCACUGCCUGCUGUGUAUCCCAGUUCCUAACAGGCCGCAGACCCAUGACCCAUAACCCAUACCAGUCUGCAGCUCGUGGGUUGGAGACCCCUAGCUUAGAGAAUUCUCCAAAUGCACAUUCCAAGAAAUAAAUGGAGCUUCCUACUUUGAAUGCUAUACUUUACUAAAAGUUUGCUAAAAUGUAAUCUGAUUUUUAUUACUGAUUUAGUAUUGAACACAUAACUGUGCCUUGCUUUUGAUAGAAAUAAUGAGAAUUUGCAAAAGUAUGCUCUCUAAUUGAAUCCACUGAUCUGUAUAAAAAAAAAAUUUUUUUUUUGAGUCUCCGUCACCCACGCUGGAGUGCAGUGGCUUGAUCUUGGCCCACUGCAGCCUCCAACUCCCUGGCUGAAUCAGUUCUCCUACCUCAGCCUCUCAAGUAGCUGUGACUACAGGCAUGUGUCACCAUGCCUGGCUAAUUUUUUAACUUUUUUGUAGACAGGUGGUUUCAUCAUGUUGGCCAGGCCUCAAACUCCUGGGCUCAAGUGAUCAACCCACCUCCAGCAUCCCAAAGUGCUGGGAUUACAGGCAUGAGCCACCAUGCCCAGCCUAUAAGAUAUUCUUAAGUGAGCUGUUGAAUUAAAAUUAAUCCUGUUGCUGACCCAGGACCAUCAUGAAUAGAAUAGUACCAAAUAGAAUCUAUGUAACAGUGGUGAUACCAUCAUCAAGAAUUAAAUUCCUACUUGUCACUACACCUUAUCUGGACUCAUAGAUAACAAUUUUUUUUUUCUUUUGUUACCUUCAGUGUUACAGAGUUUUAGUCUUCUUAAUAAUAACAACUUAGGUUUUUCUAUUUUCAGUAUGCAACGUUCCUUAUUUAUGUAACAUGUUGCUUUUAAUGUGUUAUAAAUUCAUAAACCCUAGAACACUAGGUUUGUGAAGUUAGUGAACCUAGUGAAGCUAUACUAUAUCUUUAUGAAUGAAGUGAAUGAACUUUGGUACACAGGUUUCUUAAUGUUUAUUUUAGCUGCAUAGAAGACUUUGUGCAAAAGAAAUGAUACAGCUUUGCCUAGCACACAUGACAAAAUUGUGAUUUCCUCACAGGCACACUUUGUUCUUUCCUACUUCUGUGAAGGUAAAUUUAAUACAAUAAAAAAUAUUUUUUAAUGGGAUUAUUUAAAACUUAAUUAUAUUUCCUGAGUUUAGUAGCUAAUUUUGCUUCACUGACACAACAUUGUGGUUUGUUUGCCAUUUUCAGAUAUUAAGCAGGAAAAGGCAUCAAGAGAUCAAGUUUGAACUCCUAAUUUUUAUAUAGAUAUAACUCUCAAAGUGCUAUCAUUUUCCACAUUUGGUUUAAAUCGUGUAUUGUUAAUAUCACAGCUGUCAAAGAACAUAAUUCACUUAAUUGUAUUUUGACAGUUGGUCUACUUAUGUUUUUUGAGAUGGAGUUUCACUCUUGUCACCCAGGCUGGAGUGCAAUGGCACGAUCUCGGCUUACCGCAGCCUCUGCCUCCCGAGUUCAAGCGAUUCUCCUGCCUUAACCUCCUGAGUACCUAGCAUUACAGGCGCGUGCCACCCGGCCUAGCUAAUUUUGUAUUUUUGUAGAGACAGGGUUUGUUGGCCAGGCGGGUUCGAACUUCUGACCUCAGGUGAUCCACCCACUUUGGCCUCCCAAAGUGCUGGGAUGAGGCUCACAGGCAUGAGUCACCACACCCAGCCCGAAUUUAUGAUGUGGUGGAAUUCAGUGAAUAAAUUUAAUGAAUAAACUGCAUUGAACCGUAUGAAAACAUGUGUGUGCUUUAUUUACGGUGUGAUUUAGGAAAUUUAUCUUUGACAUUUGCCUAAGUCUGCGUGCCAUCAGUUUAAUUUAAAGCUAGACUUAUGGUAUGGCUUUGAUUGUUUUGAUUGUUUGAUAAAUUGGUAUAUGUGUUAGCACAAGUGUAUUUAUUAUUGCAAGGCACAAUACCUAAAAAGCCUUAUUGAGAUAAUUAAAAUACUCAUGUUCCCUUUGAUUGAUGUUUCUUUUUUCUUUUUCUUUUUUUUUUUUUUAAUAGGACUUCUGUAACGAUAAGAGUUAUAUUUCAGAAGAGACAAGAGUACUUCUGUUAACAGGAAAGCCAAAGCCUGCUGGAGUACUAGGUGCAGUGAAUAAGCCUUUAUCAGCAACGGGAAGGAAACCCUAUGUUAGAAGCACUGGCACUGAGACUGGAAGCAAUAUUAAUGUAAAUUCAGAGCUGAACCCUUCAACCGGAAAUCGAUCAAGGGAACAGAGUUCAGAGGCAGCAGAAACUGGAGUUAGUGAAAAUGAAGAGAACCCUGUGAGGAUUAUUUCAGUCACACCUGUAAAGAAUAUUGACCCAGUAAAGAAUAAGGAAAUUAAUUCUGAUCAGGCUACCCAGGGCAACAUCAGCAGUGACCGAGGAAAGAAAAGAACAGUAACAGCAGCUGGUGCAGAGAAUAUCCAACAAAAAACAGAUGAGAAAGUAGAUGAAUCGGGACCUCCCGCCCCUUCCAAACCCAGGAGAGGACGUCGACCCAAGUCUGAAUCUCAGGGCAAUGCUACCAAAAAUGAUGAUCUAAAUAAACCUAUUAACAAGGGAAGGAAGAGAGCUGCAGUGGGUCAGGAGAGCCCUGGGGGUUUGGAAGCAGGUAAUGCCAAAGCACCCAAACUGCAAGAUUUAGCCAAAAAGGCAGCACCAGCAGAAAGACAAAUUGACUUACAAAGGUAAUGUACGCCAUUCUUCCUCAAGUGGGAAUUUAGACAUUUUGUUUUAUUCGUAGUAUAUUCUUAGUGCCAGUCACCCCAAACACCUAAGCAUUUGAGAGAGAAACCUGCAUCUGGUUUUCCUGGGUCCAUUUAUAAUAGCAUCUGUUAUUAUCUCAUAACUUCCAGUUUUAAGGCACAAAUUUGAAGAAAAAUCUUUUUUGUUUGUGUAAUUUUUAUUUAGGAUAUGGUAUUUUGAUAUUUCUAUUUUUAUUAACAAGACAAAUAUUUCUUUUGCUUAGUGCCUUUCAAGUGGUUGCAGAGGUUUACAUAAAAUAAGGGCUGCCUUUUGGAUACAAGGUCCCAGAAAUGGAGAAAACAGUCACAAAAUGUCAAUAGGUAAUAGGUCCCACUCUUUAAUUCUUCGUGUUAUAGUUAAUUCUAACACAGGUCAACAACUUACAUCUUCCCCACCCUGCCCAGAAAAACAACUUACCAAACUGUUCAUCUUUGAUCAUUCUUGUGCUGAGAUUUCAGACUUUUCCUGUUGGAAAUCUAGAAGGUGGCUCCUUUCACCUUGGCCUUAGAACUUAACUCAUCCUCCUUUUUUCCUUACAUACCUAACUCAUUUACCCCUGAAUUAGACUGUAGGCAUUUGAGUUUCUUCUAGGGAAGAGUCCCAGAUUUGAUCAGCUCAGGAUACCCCCACUAUCCUGCUUCAGUAUUUUUAUAAAACUCAAUGUCAGGCCGUGCUCAGUGGCUCAUGCCUGUAAUCCCAACACUUUGGGAGGCCUAGGUGGGUGGAUCACCUGAGGUCAGGAGUUCAAGACCAGCCUGACCAACAUGGUGAAACCCCAUCUCUACU